This 490-nucleotide ribosomal RNA is filed under the name uncultured bacterium. RNAcentral's name for it is "partial 16S ribosomal RNA". It matches the Rfam family "Bacterial small subunit ribosomal RNA", at positions 30 to 507 of the family's 1533-position model. The record is from RNAcentral.
AUUGAACGCUGGCGGCAGGCCUAACACAUGCAAGUCGAACGGUAACAGGAAGCAGCUUGCUGCUUUGCUGACGAGUGGCGGACGGGUGAGUAAUGUCUGGGAAACUGCCCGAUGGAGGGGGAUAACUACUGGAAACGGUAGCUAAUACCGCAUAACGUCGCAAGACCAAAGAGGGGGACCUUAGGGCCUCUUGCCAUCUGAUGUGCCCAGAUGGGAUUAGCUAGUAGGUGGGGUAACGGCUCACCUAGGCGACGAUCCCUAGCUGGUCUGAGAGGAUGACCAGCCACACUGGAACUGAGACACGGUCCAGACUCCUACGGGAGGCAGCAGUGGGGAAUAUUGCACAAUGGGCGCAAGCCUGAUGCAGCCAUGCCGCGUGUAUGAAGAAGGCCUUCGGGUUGUAAAGUACUUUCAGCGGGGAGGAAGGGAGUAAAGUUAAUACCUUUGCUCAUUGACGUUACCCGCAGAAGAAGCACCGGCUAACUCCGUG